Molecule: ribosomal RNA, 463 nt
Filed under: uncultured bacterium
Lineage: Bacteria
Description: SSU rRNA
Rfam family: Bacterial small subunit ribosomal RNA
Source: RNAcentral
AGGACUAACGCUGGCGGCGUGCCUAACACAUGCAAGUCGAACGGGGUAGCAAUACCCAGUGGCAGACGGGUGAGUAACACGUGGUCAACCUACCUCUGUGUGGGGGAUAACUAGCCGAAAGGUUAGCUAAUACCGCAUACGAUCGUUUUGAGGCAUCUCGAGACGAUGAAAGGAGCAAUCCGCACGGAGAGGGGACUGCGUCCCAUUAGUUAGUUGGUGGGGUAACGGCCUACCAAGACUCCGAUGGGUAGCUGGCUUGAGAGAGCGACCAGCCACACUGGAACUGAGAAACGGUCCAGACUCCUACGGGAGGCAGCAGUGAGGAAUUUUCCGCAAUGGGCGAAAGCCUGACGGAGCGACGCCGCGUGUGGGAUGAAGGCCUUCGGUCGUAAACCACUGUCGAAGGGGACGAUAAUGACGGUACCCUUGGAGGAAGCCCGGCUAACUACGCGCCAGCAGCCGC